CGUCCGCUAUCCGCCCGGGAAUUACGAGCAUUAGCUUGAAACCCAAAGGACUUGGCGGUGCUUUAGACCCACCUAGAGGAGCCUGUCCUAGAACCGAUAAUCCCCGUUCAACCUCACCCUUCCUUGUUCUCCCCGCCUAUAUACCGCCGUCGUCAGCUUACCCUGUGAAGGGCCUAUCGUAAGCAAAAUUGGCAUCGCCCAAAACGUCAGGUCGAGGUGUAGCGUAUGGAAGGGGAAGAGAUGGGCUACAUUCCCUAAUGCAGGGAAUACGAAUGAUGUCCUGAAACGUUCAUCCUGAAGGAGGAUUUAGCAGUAAGCAGAAAAUAGAGA
RNAcentral lists this ribosomal RNA (330 nucleotides) under Macquaria ambigua (golden perch). RNAcentral's name for it is "partial 12S ribosomal RNA". It matches the Rfam family "Bacterial small subunit ribosomal RNA", at positions 859 to 1354 of the family's 1533-position model. Lineage: Eukaryota; Metazoa; Chordata; Actinopteri; Centrarchiformes; Percichthyidae. The record is from RNAcentral.